CGUGAGUAACCUGCCUUGGAGUGGGGAAUAACACAGAGAAAUUUGUGCUAAUACCGCAUAAUGCAGCUGAGUCGCAUGGCUCUGGCUGCCAAAGAUUUAUCGCUCUGAGAUGGACUCGCGUCUGAUUAGCUUGUUGGCGGGGUAGGGGCCCACCAAGGCGACGAUCAGUAGCCGGCCUGAGAGGGUGGACGGCCACAUUGGGACUGAGACACGGCCCAAACUCCUACGGGAGGCAGCAG
This 239-nucleotide ribosomal RNA is filed under the name uncultured bacterium. Its description in RNAcentral is "partial 16S ribosomal RNA". It matches the Rfam family "Bacterial small subunit ribosomal RNA", at positions 116 to 354 of the family's 1533-position model. The record is from RNAcentral.